GCCUCUUUUUUUUAGCAUCUCCGUUUGAAGAAAAUCCAUAUCCAUUCUUAGUUGUAGCUCCACUUUCUACUUUGCGGUGACUACGAUUUUCGCUUUCCCAAAAGCAAGCAAGAAGCUCAAGAAAAUAAAUCUGGCCAGCUGGUUAUUGAAACCAAGCAAGAUAGCACAAAGCUCGAUGUCCCCUUAAUAUCAUAUGAGAUGAUUAAUCUGGACGCGGCAUCAUUGAAGCCGGUACAAUGGGGAUGCACGUUCUGCACUACGGGUCCUGUUUACUGGUUUUUCAUGCGGGGGUCUAUUUGAAGUACCGGAAGAACGAAUACUUCUCAUGCUCUAUGGGAUCAACAAUUGCCGGAGAAAUUGGUGCAUAUGGCUAUAGACCCUUCCGUACUCAUGGAUAUGCUUGCUGAUGAGAGAGCUGAAGUUGUUAGAAGCUUAUAUGAGGUCUUUUUCUGGGGAUUGCUCUCCUUCGGGCCUGGAAACUGCUCUGCGGUCUGACUCACUGGACCGGCCUAAUACUAAUUCUAUUGACAGGACUGAAGAAUGUAGGCAUGUCAUUAUUACAUAUAAUAGUCAUAUAUCCACGUUUCUGAAAGAUCAACGGUUGGUCUUAAUUUGUCCAUCCUAAUUUUUUGUUGAAUUUUUAAACAGCAUAGACUUGGUUAGACUAGAAGAAGAGGUAAAAUCUGCCUAACGGACGUGGUCACUCCCCACUGCUGCUCAUCAACUGCCCAUCCCAAAGCACCAUGUUUAGUUUCCAAAUUUCCAGGAUUACUAAAGCUCUCCCUCUCCAUGACAGAGUGUUGUUGAUAUGAUAAAGACUCAUUUUAGGCAGAAAGGCGCAGUCCUUGACAACCAACGAAUUCCUAACAAUUCAGUUCCAUCUCAUGACGAACAUUAGUUUCCAUAUGUAAAGCUUUUGCGAGUACGGCAAUGAUCAGCUACAAAAUGCCAGCCAGCUGAUGAUUUAAAAACCGUGAAGGACUACGGGGAUAUGCUCACAGAAUCUGUGUUCUUCAUGCCCUAAACCAAAGUUUCUUCAAACAAUCUCGGAGGAGAGAUCCGCCCUAUUUCUCAUGUUCAGCUGAUUCAGAUGUCUUAGUUCGUCCACCAAAGGCAUACAUGACAGCAGCAUUGUGCAAAGAAGGAGGAACCCUGGAGGCUCCAGAGUCAAUUCUCACGGAGGUAGACGGAGGGAAGAUGACUGGACUUGCCCUAGCCGCGAACUUUUCAUUCCGGACAACUUGCAACAUGCGUGAUUGCGCUCAACCAAGGCCAGCCGAUCAUAACUCGGUAAUAUGUGACUGUUUGUGACGUAAAUUCUCUUUAUAGCUACAUGCUCAGCUGAUAGUUGUGGCCACACUCGCAAACACAACACCAAGUAUUAUUGUGCUUGUUCCUUUCUUCCUCCUCCAAGAUUUUCUACUCGACACUUGAUAUUCCAUUGUUGUGAUUCAAUGCUAAAUAGGUUGUUCGUGUUGCGUUUGUCGAAUGCAUUUUGUCCGAAGAUACCUCCCUGCUAAUUUUUGCUUGUUUAAUUGAUGGAAUUAGUUAUGCAAAUUCAAA
Long non-coding RNA from Syzygium oleosum, 1563 nucleotides. RefSeq lists it as uncharacterized. The record is from RefSeq and is a predicted model, not a curated record. Lineage: Eukaryota; Viridiplantae; Streptophyta; Magnoliopsida; Myrtales; Myrtaceae. The transcript has 5 exons.